RNAcentral lists this transfer RNA (72 nucleotides) under Bos taurus (domestic cattle). It matches the Rfam family "tRNA". Rfam says of the family: Transfer RNA (tRNA) molecules are approximately 80 nucleotides in length. Their secondary structure includes four short double-helical elements and three loops (D, anti-codon, and T loops). Further hydrogen bonds mediate the characteristic L-shaped molecular structure. tRNAs have two regions of fundamental functional importance: the anti-codon, which is responsible for specific mRNA codon recognition, and the 3' end, to which the tRNAs corresponding amino acid is attached (by aminoacyl-tRNA synthetases). tRNAs cope with the degeneracy of the genetic code in two manners: having more than one tRNA (with a specific anti-codon) for a particular amino acid; and 'wobble' base-pairing, i.e. permitting non-standard base-pairing at the 3rd anti-codon position. The record is from Rfam by way of RNAcentral. Lineage: Eukaryota; Metazoa; Chordata; Mammalia; Artiodactyla; Bovidae. RNAcentral also lists the same sequence under 5 other names.
UCCCUGAUGGUCCAGUGGUUAAGAAUCUGCCUUGCAAUGCAGAGGACCCAGGUUCAAUCCCUUGUCUGGGAA